RNAcentral lists this ribosomal RNA (274 nucleotides) under uncultured bacterium. RNAcentral's name for it is "partial 16S ribosomal RNA". It matches the Rfam family "Bacterial small subunit ribosomal RNA", at positions 523 to 796 of the family's 1533-position model. The record is from RNAcentral.
AUACGGAGGGUGCGAGCGUUAAUCGGAAUUACUGGGCGUAAAGCGUACGUAGGCGGUUUGCUAAGUCAGAUGUGAAAGCCCCGGGCUUAACCUGGGAACUGCAUUUGAUACUGGCAGACUAGAGUAUGAUAGAGGGGGGUAGAAUUCCUGGUGUAGCGGUGAAAUGCGUAGAUAUCAGGAGGAAUACCAGUGGCGAAGGCGGCCCCCUGGAUCAAUACUGACGCUUAGGUACGAAAGCGUGGGGAGCGAACAGGAGUAGAAACCCUAGUAGUCC